UACGUAGGCAGCAAGCGUUGUUCGGAGUUACUGGGCGUAAAGAGUGCGUAGGUGGUGCCCUAAGUCUGUUGUGAAAUCUCCCGGCUUAACUGGGAGGGUGCGGUGGAAACUGGGGUGCUUGAGUGUGGGAGAGGUAAGCGGAAUUCCUGGUGUAGCGGUGAAAUGCGCAGAUAUCAGGAAGAACACCAAUGGCGAAGGCAGCUCUCUGGGACGGUACUGACGCUGAGACGCGAAAGCGUGGGGAGCGAACAGG
This 253-nucleotide ribosomal RNA is filed under the name uncultured bacterium. Its description in RNAcentral is "partial 16S ribosomal RNA". It matches the Rfam family "Bacterial small subunit ribosomal RNA", at positions 524 to 776 of the family's 1533-position model. The record is from RNAcentral.